AGCAGCCGCGGUAAUUCCAGCUCCAAUAGCGUAUAUUAAAGUUGUUGCAGUUAAAAAGCUCGUAGUUGAAUUUCGGGAUUAGUACGCUGGUCGUGCCUUAGGUAUGCACUGGUGUUACUGGUUCCUACCUUCUGACGAACCGUCAUGUCAUUAAUUUGGUGUGGCGGGGAAUCAGGACUGUUACUUUGAAAAAUUAGAGUGUUUAAAGCAGGCUCGCGCUUGAAUACAUUAGCAUGGAAUAAUGAAAUAGGACGUUCGAUCCUAUUUUGUUGGUUUCUAGGAUUGACGUAAUGAUUAAUAGGGAUAGUUGGGGGCAUUAGUAUUCAAUUGUCAGAGGUGAAAUUCUUGGAUUUUAUUGAAGACUAACUACUGCGAAAAGCAUUUGCCAAGGAUGUUUUCAUUAAUCAAGAACGAAAGUUAGGGGAUCGAAGACGGUCAGAUACCGUCGUAGUCUUAACCAUAAACUAUGCCGACUAGGGAUCGGAUGAUGUAUUUUU
RNAcentral lists this ribosomal RNA (497 nucleotides) under uncultured Glomus. Its description in RNAcentral is "SSU rRNA". It matches the Rfam family "Eukaryotic small subunit ribosomal RNA", at positions 569 to 1069 of the family's 1831-position model. The record is from RNAcentral. Lineage: Eukaryota; Fungi; Glomeromycota; Glomeromycetes; Glomerales; Glomeraceae.